GACGAACGCUGGCGGCGUGCUUAACACAUGCAAGUCGAACGGACAGGCCCUGCUUUUGUGGGGUGCUUGUGUGGCGAACGGGUGAGUAUCACGUGAGUAACCUGCCCUUGACUUUGGGAUAACUUCAGGAAACUGGGGCUAAUACCGGAUAGGAUCUCCUGCUGCAUGUUGUGCGUUGGAAAGUUUCGGCGGUUGGGGAUGGACUCGCGGCUUAUCAGCUGGUUGGUGUGGUAGUUGCUUACCAAGGCUUUGAAGGGUAGCCGGCCUGAGAGGGUGACCGGCCACAUUGGGACUGAGAUAGGGAGCAGACUGCUACGGGAGGCAGAAGGGGGGAAUAUGGCACAAUGGGCGGAAGCCAGAUGCAGCGACGCCGCGUGCGGGAUGACGGCCUUCGGGGUGUAAACCGAUUUCGCAUGUGACGAAGAGUGAGUGACGGUAAUGGGUAAAGAAGCACCGGCUAACUACGUG
This 468-nucleotide ribosomal RNA is filed under the name uncultured bacterium. RNAcentral describes it as "partial 16S ribosomal RNA". It matches the Rfam family "Bacterial small subunit ribosomal RNA", at positions 28 to 507 of the family's 1533-position model. The record is from RNAcentral.